This 366-nucleotide long non-coding RNA is filed under the name Mus pahari (shrew mouse). Its description in RNAcentral is "predicted gene, 37950 (MGP_PahariEiJ_G0003694.1)". The record is from RNAcentral. Lineage: Eukaryota; Metazoa; Chordata; Mammalia; Rodentia; Muridae.
GAGGCCCCCUAGCUCACAGCCAGCCCUCCGAGUCCUCACAAACUAUCACAAGCUGGCUCUUGCCUCAGGCAGUGGUGGCAUCCUGAUUCAUAUGACUUCUUUGGGCCUUCUUCCUACCUGCUGGCACACGCUGUAGCUUUUCUUGCCAAAGCGAUCCACAAAUCCCCAGUCUACCUCGAAGCUCAGAGAAGUCAGAUGGCUGACUGCCUUCUUCCAAGAUAUGGAUGGGAGCUUCCAGCACUUUGGGGAAACAGCAUCCAUUAUUCUAUGGAGAUGUUCUGUAACAAUGCCAUCUCCACAAAGAACUCACUGCCUCAGAGGUUUUCUAAGGUGGUGAUUAAACAUUUGCUACGUUGUAAUUUCCCA